RNAcentral lists this ribosomal RNA (649 nucleotides) under uncultured fungus. Its description in RNAcentral is "eukaryotic LSU rRNA". The stretch from base 283 to 437 matches the Rfam family "5.8S ribosomal RNA". The record is from RNAcentral. Lineage: Eukaryota; Fungi.
AAGUCGUAACAAGGUUUCCGUAGGUGAACCUGCGGAAGGAUCAUUACCGAGUUAGGGUCUCCUUUAUGGGGCCCAACCUCCCAACCCUGUGUCUACAUAAACUUGUACGUGUUGCUUCGGCGGACCGGCAGUCGCCCUCUGUAAGGGGGACCGUCGCCGGGGGUUCAACGGUGUCACAACCGCCCCCUGGAGAGCGUCCGUCGAUGGCCCAACCUCCAAAACUCUUGAAUUAAACCAUGAACUUCUGAAUGAAAACCCAUAUUUGAUGUUAAUCAAAAACAAAACUUUCAACAACGGAUCUCUUGGUUCUGGCAUCGAUGAAGAACGCAGCGAAAUGCGAUAAGUAAUGCGAAUUGCAGAAUUUCCGUGAGUCAUCGAAUCUUUGAACGCACAUUGCGCCCUUUGGCAUUCCGAAGGGCAUGCCUGUUCGAGCGUCAUUAUCCUCCCUCAAACCUCGGUGUUUGGUGUUGGACUGUGUUGGAUGUUUAAGCCAACUGGUCUUAAAGACAAUGACGGUGUCCGUGGGACCCUCUUCGCACUGAGCUUUCCAAAGCACGCGUAGAGUUUUCAAGGCCCCCAAGGACCCGGUCACUCCUUUUAUUUUUUCUAGGUUGACCUCGGAUCAGGUAGGAAUACCCGCUGAACUUAA